UACAGAGGGGGCAAGCGUUGUUCGGAAUUACUGGGCGUAAAGGGCGCGUAGGCGGCCUGUUAAGUCGAACGUGAAAUCCCCGGGCUCAACCCGGGAACUGCGUCCGAUACUGGCAGGCUUGAAUUCGGGAGAGGGAUGCGGAAUUCCAGGUGUAGCGGUGAAAUGCGUAGAUAUCUGGAGGAACACCGGUGGCGAAGGCGGCGAUCCUGGACCGAGAUUGACGCUGAGGCGCGAAAGCCAGGGGAGCAAACGGGG
RNAcentral lists this ribosomal RNA (255 nucleotides) under uncultured bacterium. RNAcentral describes it as "partial 16S ribosomal RNA". It matches the Rfam family "Bacterial small subunit ribosomal RNA", at positions 524 to 777 of the family's 1533-position model. The record is from RNAcentral.